Tripterygium wilfordii is the source of this 459-nucleotide long non-coding RNA. RefSeq lists it as uncharacterized. Lineage: Eukaryota; Viridiplantae; Streptophyta; Magnoliopsida; Celastrales; Celastraceae. The record is from RefSeq and is a predicted model, not a curated record. The transcript has 2 exons.
AUAAAUAUAUAAAUAAGAGAUAUAUAUGGAUGCAAUUUGAAAGUGAACAGCUUCGAGCUAGGGGUUAAACCAUACCUGCAAUGUCUUUGUUGAUGGUUGGAUUUUCUUCAGAAUAAUGAAGCUGGCAUUGGAGGUGUCCCAGAGCAUCCAAAGUCUUGCAGUUUCCUUGGUUUGUGUAAAAGAUUUGGAGAUUGUUUCGUCUUGUAGUGAUUGUAAUGAUGUUUGUGGAAGUCGAUCAUGUAUCUGCUAUUAAUGGGCAUCUUCCUUUUUGAAAACUUUGACUGAGUUUUAAUUGUAGAUUUGAUGUUUAUUUCAUUUGUAGUUGAGAAUGAGUUGUUGUGGUUUAGUUCCAAAUUUGUGUGAAUCGUUUGUCAUUUGCUUAGUAAAUAUUUUAAAAUAUAAUGUACUAUCAUUGUGAUUGAUUUUGUUUAGACGAUAUAAAGAAAUGGUUGAUGUGUU